RNAcentral lists this ribosomal RNA (986 nucleotides) under Cordyceps cateniobliqua. Its description in RNAcentral is "SSU rRNA". It matches the Rfam family "Eukaryotic small subunit ribosomal RNA", at positions 44 to 1041 of the family's 1831-position model. Lineage: Eukaryota; Fungi; Ascomycota; Sordariomycetes; Hypocreales; Cordycipitaceae. The record is from RNAcentral.
UUAAGCCAUGCAUGUCUAAGUAUAAGCAAUUAUACAGCGAAACUGCGAAUGGCUCAUUAUAUAAGUUAUCGUUUAUUUGAUAGUACCUUACUACUUGGAUAACCGUGGUAAUUCUAGAGCUAAUACAUGCUAAAAAUCCCGACUUCGGAAGGGAUGUAUUUAUUAGAUUAAAAACCAAUGCCCUCUGGGCUCCUUGGUGAUUCAUAAUAACUUUUCGAAUCGCAUGGCCUUGCGCCGGCGAUGGUUCAUUCAAAUUUCUUCCCUAUCAACUUUCGAUGUUUGGGUAUUGGCCAAACAUGGUCGCAACGGGUAACGGAGGGUUAGGGCUCGACCCCGGAGAAGGAGCCUGAGAAACGGCUACUACAUCCAAGGAAGGCAGCAGGCGCGCAAAUUACCCAAUCCCGAUUCGGGGAGGUAGUGACAAUAAAUACUGAUACAGGGCUCUUUUGGGUCUUGUAAUUGGAAUGAGUACAAUUUAAAUCCCUUAACGAGGAACAAUUGGAGGGCAAGUCUGGUGCCAGCAGCCGCGGUAAUUCCAGCUCCAAUAGCGUAUAUUAAAGUUGUUGUGGUUAAAAAGCUCGUAGUUGAACCUUGGGCCUGGCUGGCCGGUCCGCCUCACCGCGUGUACUGGUCCGGCCGGGCCUUUCCCUCUGUGGAACCUCAUGCCCUUCACUGGGUGUGGCGGGGAAACAGGACUUUUACUUUGAAAAAAUUAGAGUGCUCCAGGCAGGCCUAUGCUCGAAUACAUUAGCAUGGAAUAAUAAAAUAGGACGCGUGGUUCUAUUUUGUUGGUUUCUAGGACCGCCGUAAUGAUUAAUAGGGACAGUCGGGGGCAUCAGUAUUCAAUUGUCAGAGGUGAAAUUCUUGGAUUUAUUGAAGACUAACUACUGCGAAAGCAUUUGCCAAGGAUGUUUUCAUUAAUCAGGAACGAAAGUUAGGGGAUCGAAGACGAUCAGAUACCGUCGUAGUCUUAACCAUAAACUAUG